GGAUGGGAAGGUGAUCUGGAUGCCCAUUGAUCUCCAGAGUUGAUUCAGCUGAUCUGGCUGGCUAGGAGGGUGUCCCCUUUCUCACUGCUUCAUGUGCAUUCCUCCUGAAGCUGCUGUGUUAUGUCAAAGAGGAUGACCUUCCCCCAAUAGAAAUGGACUGGUCUUUGGUCAAGGGCAUAUGAGUAGCUGUGCUACCCUGCUAGCACCCCCAAAUAAACUCUUAAGAAUAGCCAGACAUGAACUAUAGGAGGGAGAGGGGGAGAAAGAGGUGAAUGGUGGGUAAAUUAGAAGACAAGAGUUCAGAAGGUUGACUGCUCCCUUC
Molecule: unclassified non-coding RNA, 322 nt
Organism: Erinaceus europaeus (western European hedgehog)
Lineage: Eukaryota; Metazoa; Chordata; Mammalia; Eulipotyphla; Erinaceidae
Gene: 7SK
Rfam family: 7SK RNA
About the family: 7SK was discovered as an abundant small nuclear RNA in the mid-70s but a possible function has only recently been suggested. Two independent studies have found that 7SK RNA binds the CDK9/cyclin T complex (known as elongation factor P-TEFb).
Source: Ensembl